UAUCAAUAAGCGGAGGAAAAGAAACCAACAGGGAUUGCCCCAGUAACGGCGAGUGAAGCGGCAACAGCUCAAAUUUGAAAUCUGGCCCCUAGGGCCCGAGUUGUAAUUUGCAGAGGAUGCUUUUGGCGAGGUGCCUUCCGAGUUCCCUGGAACGGGACGCCAUAGAGGGUGAGAGCCCCGUCUGGUUGGAUACCGAGCCUCUGUAAAGCUCCUUCGACGAGUCGAGUAGUUUGGGAAUGCUGCUCUAAAUGGGAGGUAUAUGUCUUCUAAAGCUAAAUACCGGCCAGAGACCGAUAGCGCACAAGUAGAGUGAUCGAAAGAUGAAAAGCACUUUGAAAAGAGGGUUAAAUAGUACGUGAAAUUGUUGAAAGGGAAGCGCUUAUGACCAGACUUGGACCCGGUGAAUCAUCCAGCGUUCUCGCUGGUGCACUUUGCCGGGCUCAGGCCAGCAUCAGUUUGUCUCGGGGGAUAAAGGCUUAGGGAAUGUGGCUCCUCCGGGAGUGUUAUAGCCCUUUGCACAAUACCCUGGGGCGGACUGAGGUUCGCGCAUCUGCAAGGAUGCUGGCGUAAUGGUCAUCAGCGACCCGUCUUGAAACACGGACCAAGGAGUCGUCUUCGUAUGCGAGUGUUCGGGUGUAAAACCCCUACGCGUAAUGAAAGUGAACGCAGGUGAGAGCUUCGGCGCAUCAUCGACCGAUCCUGAUGUUCUCGGAUGGAUUUGAGUAAGAGCAUACGGGGCCGGACCCGAAAGAAGGUGAACUAUGCCUGUAUAGGGUGAAGCCAGAGGAAACUCUGGUGGAGGCUCGCAGCGGUUCUGACGUGCAAAUCGAUCGUCAAAUAUGGGCAUGGGGGCGAAAGACUAAUCGAACCUUCUAGUA
Molecule: ribosomal RNA, 878 nt
Filed under: Ophiocordyceps pruinosa
Lineage: Eukaryota; Fungi; Ascomycota; Sordariomycetes; Hypocreales; Ophiocordycipitaceae
Description: LSU rRNA
Rfam family: Eukaryotic large subunit ribosomal RNA
Source: RNAcentral